UCAUUGGUUCUAUCUUUUUCCCCCUGUAGUUGUUCACAUACUGCUUUGCUCUCCUUUUUUUUGGUUUUUCUUUGAUCCCUUCUCCUCAAACCUCUGCCUCAUGGGUCGUCAGCUGACAGACAGCAAGAGCAGGGUGCCACCUCCCCUCUUAUCCACCCCUGCUCUCACUUUUUGCCAUUUGGGAUAAGCACCAUUUUGCAGCCAGGAAAUCAUUUGGGAACCCCAGGUAAGUGAACCGAAGCCACACAGAUGUUAAUCUCCCCUUGGCACCCAUCAGACAUGCACCACACUCCUCCACUUCCUUCUAGAUCUCUUCUCUUUUUUUACUCUCUCUGCCCUAAGUCUCUGAAAUCUCAUUGAAGACAGCAAAGCGGGAGUUGAAGUCUCUUGAUUAGUUUUUUUUUUUUUUUUAAUAGGAGAUACUGUAUAUGGGGAAAGAAGUGCAACCUACUAUGGCCAUGCAGGCAGGUUGCAGGGAGCUGGUCCAUAUCUCCAGUGGUCACUGUGCAAGAGGCAGGAAACUCUCUGGACGGUUUGACCAAGCUUUGUCACUUUUUAACCACAAUGCUCACAAGGAAGUUUCACCACGUUUACCACCUGCACUGCCACCAAAGGACUGAACUCACUGUGCCACUCAUCUGUAUUGGACUCCAGGUCACUCUGCUGAAGAUCAGACACUCUGUUGGAUUUCCCCUGGUCGUGCCGGACUGAGAUCACCAAAACCUGUAAGAAGAAAAACUAACCAAUCAUUCAUUACUUAUCCUAAGUGAAGACUUUCUGGAACUGUUACUUACCUCUCGUUCUGCUUUCCCCUCAGCCCUGGGUCCAAACGAUACAGCACCUGUAAAAAAAAACACUUUCUCUUUGAAAAACUGUCUCUGUGUGAGCUUACUCGGUUCCGCUUAUCAGAAUUGCUGUCAUAUUCCAGUCUUGUGAUUAUUCCGAAACAAGAUGCAGAAGACAAGGCCAUAUGGUGGAUGUCUUUUUGCCAGUCUGAUGGGAAGAAGUCACAGCAAAAGCACAUAGGUUGUUUCAUGACAUCAUCUUGUGCACCACUAUAGUCAGUAAUUAUAUUCACACAAAGUAAGUCAAUGAUUGCUUGCAGACUGUUUGAUCCACCACCGUGCUUUCAGCAAUCAGUCUAUUUGACUGUGAAGCAGGUGUUGUUAAUGUUUAUGGAAAUACAGCCACUGCUUUUUCAUGCUGACAAUAAAGUCUACCUUCCCACACGACAUGUGUUGUGUCUCCAGUUGAGGUAAACAGGCACUAAUAUUGGAUCUUGUUUCUACAUCGUAGGCUCAUCUGUGGGUGCAAGCAGGGAGGAGAUGUUAGCUGAUACUUACACCUCUGGCUCAACACGGUGGGCGGGAGCACUGAAGCUGGUUGACUUUUAUUAGGAUGGUGCAGUGUGUGUUUUCGGUGUGUGUUAUUGCAUGUGCACACAGACUCAGCAGGCCUUUUUUUAAAGUUUAUUUACAUGACAAGUUUUUUGGUUUUGUUUUGUAUUUUUUACAUAGGUUUGUAGAGCACUUGUAAAGAAAAACACCACUGACUCUUGUUUUCAAUUAAGACAUCCACGGACUCUGUGUUACAUGGCCGAUAAAAUGGAUUUUUUUGGUUUUCGGUUUGGUGAUCAUUUUGCUGAACAUGGGAGGGAAAGAGUGGGAAGAUGGUGAAAAACAGGGUGUACCCCUUUGUGAAUACACUUCAACUGGAUUUGGCUGUAAGAAGUGAAAUAGAUCAAAUAUUGAGUAAGCGAAGGAAGGGCAUCACCACAUCAAAGGCAUGGAUUGGGAGGCACAGGGAGAGAUUAAAGACAGCCUUGAAGAACUAUGUGAAGGAGACCAUACUGUGGCUGUUCUAGCCAAACUGAAUGGGCCUGUCAAUAUCUGACCUACUGCACCACUCUUCCAAGUCACGACCAUCGGAGCACAUUGCUCCUUUUCCCCACUUUGGCUGGCAAGCCUUGAGAAUGCAGACGGUGACCUUGAAAAGGAAAAUACAAGGAAGCAACACACUUAUAAGUGGAACCUAUUUAAUUAUUGAUAGGAUGAGGGCUUUCCCAAUUUCUUUUAUGUUUUUGUUUAAUCUUAUUCACAUUUGUACAAAAACUACUGGAUCUCAUCUUGCAUCUAUAAGUAUUUCUAGAAAUCUUUGCAUUUUGUUUUGGAUAGUAGAGUCCGGAUCGAAUGGACACAAUAGCACAUAAACAAAGUUGAGUGGUAAUCCAAACCCCUGCUGCUUCUGGCCCAAUCAGCCUGCCCUAUUCUGGCCCAGGUUGUAUGCCGGCAUGCCUUCCUGAGCUUGGCUAGGUUUGAAAAGUCAUGCUUGUGGGUGGAUGCUACUCAUAAAUAUGUAUUUGGCUUAAGUCGAGUAGUCCCACUGCUCUAGACUCUGCUCUGCUUGCCCAAACCUUAUGCUCUUCUCAGUUUUCAGUCAUCCACAAGUUACAGAUGCAACUUACCAAGGCAUUUUAUUAGAAAACAAAAAAAAAAGUAAUUGACCAAAAAAUGUUUAAUGCUAAAAGUAUACAAGUAUAUCAUAUCCAUUUUA
Austrofundulus limnaeus is the source of this 2553-nucleotide long non-coding RNA. RefSeq lists it as uncharacterized. The record is from RefSeq and is a predicted model, not a curated record. The transcript has 4 exons. Lineage: Eukaryota; Metazoa; Chordata; Actinopteri; Cyprinodontiformes; Rivulidae.